AGAUCGAGAUCCCCCCACCCACCAGCGGUCUCCCGUCCCCCCCCCUUCCUCAACCUCCUCUCCUCUGCUGUCCAUCGGAGGCCCCCGCACACAACGGAAAUUGCUGCUCGGCGUCUCCAGCAGCCAAGGACGGGCUCCCGGCCUCCGCGCGGCAUCGUCUCUUCCUUCCCCGUCGCCAUCUGUCACCGUCGUCGUCCCGAUCCGGCCCUUCGCGCCGCAGGGUUUCUUAUAGAUGGCAGCUGCUUGGACGCGGACGACACACGAUCGAGUGGGGGAGAGGGAGACAGGAUGAUGGACGCCUAUACGGGUGUGGGGGAUCCCUGACAGCGGAUCGAGAGCAGCAUGAGCUGUAUUUGUAGAAGAUAGCGACAGAGUGGGAAGGUUUGUGCAAAGUUCUUCUCCUCCGUCGCCGUCCGUGACAAAGCUGCUGGGUGCAUCCGUCCAUCAUCUUCAGAUCUGAGUGAAGAGGGCAUCCGUCCAUCUCAAAAGGCGAUGGCUCCACGACAUCUACAAUCAGUAUUUGCAUGUUCUUAGCAGACAAAUCUGGGAGAAUGUACUAGCUGCAUAUAUUGGUUCUUGGGUUUACUAUUAGAGCUUUUUAUCUGCAUAUAUAUAUACAUAAGAGUGAGAAUGCCCAGGUAUGCGACCCUAAAUUUAGUUUCACUGCUUUCUUACUCGUGGGAUUUAUCCAAUUAAUAACUAUAAUGGAUUAAUGAGAAAAAGACAAGGGAAAUUAGCUUUAUAAGAAUGAAACUAUUCAUGGUAAACAUUUGGCAGAAGAGAAUCACAAAAUGAACAACAACCUCCCUCAUGGGAAACAUCAGGUGUGGUAAAAUGCUCACUUAAAAAAAUAGAAACUAGAGAUUACUUCCUAGUUUCCUUUUGCCUCGUUGCUACUGGUGUUGUCUGUUUAGGUAACCCUCUGCCUCAUGGUGUUCAUCUGGUUGGCACCAAUCUGCUAAGUAUACAUAAAGUGAAUUUGAGUUAUAUAAAUAUGCUAACUAUCUACAAGACAUCACUAACAUAGAACAAAAUGAUGUAGUCUAGAGUUCAACAUGACUUUGUUUUUUCUGCACUUUUUCGUAAGCAUACCAAAGCGAAUCCAAUGUCAAGCCUUUGAAAGUUUGAACCAUUGAUCUGCUCUAUGCUCCCUAUCCAUUUUCACAUCAAUUAGGUGCAUCGACAUUGACAUCUACACGGGGCUGGGGUGGCGGCGUUGACGGCAUCAACAUCGACACGGGGCUGCUGCAGCGAUGACGACGGCAUCCUCACGGUGCUGUGGCACCGACCACGACGACGACAACAUCAUCACGGUGCUGCGGCGGCGGCGACACCGACGACAUCAACACGGGCUUGUGGAGGUGCCGACGCUGACGACCUAUACGUGUGGCGUAUAUUGUAUAUAUAUAUAUAUGUGUGUGUAUUAAUUAUCUAUAUCAAAUAUGUAUUAUUGACUGUAUGCAAAACAUGUACUAUUAUGUAA
Molecule: long non-coding RNA, 1483 nt
Organism: Triticum aestivum (bread wheat)
Lineage: Eukaryota; Viridiplantae; Streptophyta; Magnoliopsida; Poales; Poaceae
Exons: 4
Source: RefSeq, a predicted model, not a curated record